This 245-nucleotide long non-coding RNA is filed under the name Elaeis guineensis (African oil palm). Its description in RNAcentral is "long non-coding RNA (EGUI_LNC081716)". Lineage: Eukaryota; Viridiplantae; Streptophyta; Magnoliopsida; Arecales; Arecaceae. The record is from RNAcentral.
UAGGACAUCAACUCAAUCUGAUCAUCUGCAAGUCUGAUCUCUGAAAGAUCUACUCUGCUCCCUGACUGUGGUAUAGAAGUAUCCCUCCUCACUGACUCUGAGGGACCAACCUCGUGAUCAGACAUGAACUGAAUAUCAAGAGAUGCUCUGUGAUCACGAGAAGGUGAAGACGGUCCCUCCUCUGCUCUCUCCUCAACUCCCUUCGACCAACCACCAUUAGUCUUUGAAAAAUCCAUGCAGUGCAG